UUGCAGAGCAUCGGUAGUGGGAUUGCCUA
RNAcentral lists this non-coding RNA (29 nucleotides) under Homo sapiens (human). Lineage: Eukaryota; Metazoa; Chordata; Mammalia; Primates; Hominidae. The record is from RNAcentral.